GACGAACGCUGGCGGCGUGCUUAACACAUGCAAGUCGAACGAAGUGGCGAACGGGUGAGUAACGCGUAAUCAACCUGCCCUUCAGAGGGGGAUAACAGUUGGAAACGACUGCUAAUACCGAAUACUGAAGGAGGGGAGUGCGUCUGAUUAGCUAGUUGGAGGGGUAACGGCCCACGAAGGCGCUGAUCAGUAGCCGGUCUGAGAUGAAUAACUGCCCCAUGUUGACUGAGUCACGGCCCAGACUUCUACGGGAGGCAGCAGUGGGGAAUCUUCCGCAAUGGACGAAUGUCUGACAGAACAACGCCGCGUGUGUGAUGAUGGCCUUCGGGUUGUAAAGCUCUGUUAAUCGGGACGCGGUACCGGAAUAGAAAGCCACGGCUAACUACGUGCCAGCAGCCGCGGUAAUUC
This 408-nucleotide ribosomal RNA is filed under the name uncultured bacterium. RNAcentral describes it as "partial 16S ribosomal RNA". It matches the Rfam family "Bacterial small subunit ribosomal RNA", at positions 28 to 526 of the family's 1533-position model. The record is from RNAcentral.